GAAACUAGGCGGCUUCACAGAUCUUGCACUGGGUCCCUGUGCCUGCCUGCCAUCGAGGAUCCAAAAUCUAAGGAUGAUGCUCGGAGUCCCACCACAGCCUGUCAGAGUUCACAUAGCGAAACCCAAAGCGCCUGCCCCUGUGACAUCAUCUGAAUUCAGCCACCCUCACUACCGCCACCAGCCCAGGAUAAGGAUCAUAUUUCCAGUCUCCUUUGCAGCUACCCGGCCACUGGACCAAUCUCCAACCAGGCAGAUAAAGGGAUGGAAGUUAGAGUCUCGCCUGGCGACUUCCGGUAACAGCUUUGUGCCACUUUCCCUAGAACGAUCCUCCUGCCUCCUUCCUGCCAGCUCCAUGGAUUGUAAAAUCACGUUGGGCGUGGCAGCCAGACAGAAUAAAGCACCAAAUUAAAACAGGUGCCAGUGUCCCCAUGUCAUGCAGAGUCAGCAAGGCACUCUGCACCAGCCCCAGCCCCACACUUCCUAUCUCCAGGUUUCUAAAAUAAAGAGAAAAAUGAAAUUGCCCUGUGCCCCAAA
Molecule: long non-coding RNA, 534 nt
Filed under: Mus musculus (house mouse)
Lineage: Eukaryota; Metazoa; Chordata; Mammalia; Rodentia; Muridae
Description: hexokinase 1, opposite strand (Hk1os)
Source: RNAcentral